Long non-coding RNA from Photinus pyralis (common eastern firefly), 400 nucleotides. RefSeq lists it as uncharacterized. The transcript has 2 exons. Lineage: Eukaryota; Metazoa; Arthropoda; Insecta; Coleoptera; Lampyridae. The record is from RefSeq and is a predicted model, not a curated record.
UAAAGGUGGUCAGUUGUCAACUCAACUUCGUACCGUUACUUACAACUUACGUUCAUUUCAAAAUGAAAUUCCAAGUAUUGUUCUUCGUCGCCCUCAUUAUGUUGGCAUCCUUCUCCGAACGAGCCGAUGCUGCCCCAAGAUGGAAGCCGCUGAAGAAGCUUGAGAGCGCAGGCCGCCGACUUUUCCACGUUGCCGAAAGGGUUUUACCCGUUGCACAGGGAUAUGCCGGAUUGUUUAGGGGCUAGGCCGUCUUCGUCAUGUUAUGCAGACUCGGAAUGAAGUACGCACACCAAUAUAUACGUUAUGUUUUAUAUGACAGUACAUCCUUAGUCUUUUAAGUUUUCACUUCUGCUAGUAAUUAGUUAAAAGGGGUAUAAUAAAUCGUAGAAUUAUAACUAUC